Molecule: long non-coding RNA, 1964 nt
Organism: Coturnix japonica (Japanese quail)
Lineage: Eukaryota; Metazoa; Chordata; Aves; Galliformes; Phasianidae
Source: Ensembl
CUCGUCAGCUGCAAAAAAUAAAUGUUUCUGGAGCUGGAGGAUCAUGUUGCAGAAGCGUGUGACUGCGAGACCCAGAUUCCUUUCCCUGCUUCCCUCGUCUCUUUCCUUAGGUGAUUUUUAGCAUUAUUAUUUGUUUUGGGAGGGGAAAAAUCCUCCUCGCUUCAGUCUCUUGCUAGAGGUCCAGACUGCUUACGUCUGAGCGCCCCUUAUCAUUUCAGUGAAUGGCAAUUGCAGCCUUGGUGCUGUUAUAGCAAUGAAGCUACAGACGUCAUUGCCUCCUGUUGGACGUGAGAUGUGUCCAAGCAUCAGCCCCUUCUGCUUAAGAAAAACUCUUUAACUUCCAUGCAGCCGGCAGGCAGGCUUUCCUAAGAUCCUGUGGACCCAACACCGCAUUGAUACCGUUAUAUAUUUUUCUUUAUAUAUGCAUAUACAUAUACACAGGUGUACGUGUGUACGUGUGUUUGUAUGUAUGCAUAUAGAGAGCCAGAAAUAGCUAAUUUAAAGCCGCUGCCGCACAGCGAGCUUCUCCAAAAUUUCCUGCUCGUCAGAGUAGCUCUGCAUCGUUCUGUUAAAUGCAGCCAGGCGGGAAAGCCAUCGUCCAUCAAUUUCGGGUAACAAGGACGACCUGUUGAACACCUUUUGCUCUCCGACCCCCGGGAAGAUGCUGGGCUGCCGGAGCACGGAAGAGCCAGGACUGUGCCCCGAACUUCACCCGCUCGGCAGCCGCUGUUCCUAAGCCAUUUCCCCUCUCCUCCCCCGCCUCUUUGCCUCCCGGACCGAGAAUCUGCUCUUUAAAGUUGAUCUGACGGGGAAAGCAGAGACGAGCUUGUGCAUAGUUCGCAGGGUUGAAGCCAAAGAACACAGCGGCCUUCACAAGCGAUCUCUCCACCUGCAGCAAUCUGUUUCAUUGGAAACAGCUCAGUUUUGGCCUUCUAUGUUGGAAGCAUGUCAACACAAUUUGUCAAUGGAAGCUUUUUGGAUGCUGCAAGUAAUGAAGUGGUCAGGAUUUGGGGAUUUUGCUGCUGCCAAAAUAUUUUUCAUUUCCUGAUAGCUUUCUAUGAUGCAGUUCUUGAAGAUAUCUUUCCUUUCUGAGAUAACUCAGAGUGAAUGUUUAUUACAACAGGCUAUUGAAGAAGUUCCCAACUAGAGGGUCCUUUUUGUCAUGGGAUAUUUCUUUCAUUUGCUGCUCAAGGUCCUCAUACAAUUUAUUUCACUGAUAAUAUUUAUAGUUCUUGUUAUUUUUGUAGAUUUUCUGCCUCAGUAUUUGUGCCACAGUAGGAACUAGCUACAAUGAGGUGAGUUGAGCUGUCCAGUGUGAAUUAUGAAAGAAGUAUGAUAUUGCAGAAGAAAAGGCAUCUUCAAUUUCACUAAGUUAAGGAGGUCACAGAGCAGUCAGGUUUAUAUUCACUGUUCUGGAAUCUGCUCAUACCCUUGCAUAAAACUCUUGCUAUGUACUGAAGGUAGGUAGUUGUUUUUUUUCAGGCUAUGCUUUCAGCAUAGUCUGAUACACAGAGUUCUCUGAUGCUUCUUGUGUUUCAUCUUGCCUAAAGACUCCCAGUUUUGCAGUAACAUGCAGGCUGAUCACUAGUCCUGCUGGAAAUAUAUGCUUCCCAGACUGUUGAAUGACAUUUCCCCAGUGAGUUGUUUUUCUCACUAUUAAAUGAUUUGGUUGCCUGAAGAGAUCUCCAGCUUUGACACUGGUUCCUAAAAGGGGAAGGUGCACUCUUUUCCCAAAUCUUGGGAUCCUAGACUGUUAUAAACCAGCCAUAGUUUAUGCAACCAUGCCCAGAUCUGUACUGGCGUAGACUUCAUAAAGUUCUUUCCUCAGUUUACAGGUGGAAAAAAGAUAAAAAUAUGAAUGUUUAGUAAAAGUACCUUCUGGAUGUGUUCAGAGUACCCAGUUUAAGCACUGAGGACUUAAUCCUCUGGAGAAGAAAGCAAUAAAAUACCUGUCAUCAGUUACA